AGGUUCCUUCCUGUUUGUUUCUGGAGCGAACAUGCUGCACCAGGCUGCCAACAGAGCCGGAGAGCGUAAUAGCAUGAGUUUUCCUCAAAUAGUUUUAGUUGUACUUAUCAGAAAGGCAGUUUUCGGUGUAAAUUUGACAUUUUGUACAUGAAACAUAUGCUUGGUAGAUCAAGGUAACACCAAAAUGUGAAAUCGUCAUGGACUAAUAUAUAUACACAAAUUGAGAGGUAACU
RNAcentral lists this unclassified non-coding RNA (233 nucleotides) under Hevea brasiliensis (rubber tree). Lineage: Eukaryota; Viridiplantae; Streptophyta; Magnoliopsida; Malpighiales; Euphorbiaceae. The record is from RNAcentral.